Microcebus murinus (gray mouse lemur) is the source of this 379-nucleotide non-coding RNA. Lineage: Eukaryota; Metazoa; Chordata; Mammalia; Primates; Cheirogaleidae. The record is from RefSeq and is a predicted model, not a curated record.
CUUUGGAAGACGGUUAUGGCAGCUGCAGAAUGAGAUCAGAAGCUGAUUAUAUUUAGAACUUGAGUGGAAGCCAAAUUCCUAGAUACAAGUGUCUACAGUCAAAGUUAUGGCCCUAAUUGGAAUAAACAAGGAUUCUGAAAAAUAUCUGGGAAGUCUUGGAUUAGCUCCUGAUUAGAAGAUACCCAACACAGCUCAUGUUACUUCAGAAAUGCAUGAUGAUGAAGAACAUGAUGCCUUUUGGCACAGUUUGGUGCUAUCUCCAGACUCUAGCAGUUUUACCCAUUGCUAUGAUCUGAAUCUUGGUGUCCCUCAAAAUUCCCAUGUUGGAACCUAAUGCCCAAUGUGGUAGUGUUAACAGGUGGGGCCUUUUGGGAAAUGA